GAUGAAGAACGCAGCAAAAUGCGCUAAGUAAUGUGAAUUGCAGAAUUCAGUGAAUCAUCGAAUCUUUGAACGCACAUUGCGCCCGCCAGUAUUCUGGCGGGCAUGCCUGUUCGAGCGUCAUUUCAACCCUCAAGCCCUCGGGUUUGGUGUUGGGGAUCGGCGAGCCUUUCUGGCAAGCCGGCCCCGAAAUCUAGUGGCGGUCUCGCUGCAGCCUCCAUUGCGUAGUAGUAAAACCCUCGCAACUGGAACGCGGCGCGGCCAAGCCGUUAAACCCCCAACUUCUGAAUGUUGACCUCGGAUCAGGUAGGAAUACCCGCUGAACUUAAGCAUAUCAAUAAGCGGAGGA
RNAcentral lists this unclassified non-coding RNA (346 nucleotides) under soil metagenome. RNAcentral's name for it is "partial contains 5.8S ribosomal RNA, internal transcribed spacer 2, and large subunit ribosomal RNA". The stretch from base 1 to 120 matches the Rfam family "5.8S ribosomal RNA", at positions 35 to 154 of the family's 154-position model. The record is from RNAcentral.